This 800-nucleotide ribosomal RNA is filed under the name uncultured bacterium. RNAcentral's name for it is "bacterial SSU rRNA". It matches the Rfam family "Bacterial small subunit ribosomal RNA", at positions 732 to 1532 of the family's 1533-position model. The record is from RNAcentral.
GGAUGACACUGACGCUCAUGUACGAAAGCGUGGGUAGCAAACAGGAUUAGAUACCCUGGUAGUCCACGCCCUAAACGAUGUCAACUGGUUGUUGGGGGAGUGAAAUCCCUUAGUAACGAAGCUAACGCGUGAAGUUGACCGCCUGGGGAGUACGGUCGCAAGAUUAAAACUCAAAGGAAUUGACGGGGACCCGCACAAGCGGUGGAUGAUGUGGAUUAAUUCGAUGCAACGCGAAAAACCUUACCUACCCUUGACAUGUCCGGAAUCCUGCAGAGAUGCGGGAGUGCCCGAAAGGGAAUCGGAACACAGGUGCUGCAUGGCUGUCGUCAGCUCGUGUCGUGAGAUGUUGGGUUAAGUCCCGCAACGAGCGCAACCCUUAUCAUUAGUUGCUACGCGAGGGCACUCUAAUGAGACUGCCGGUGACAAACCGGAGGAAGGUGGGGAUGACGUCAAGUCCUCAUGGCCCUUAUGGGUAGGGCUUCACACGUCAUACAAUGGUCGGUACAGAGGGUUGCCAAGCCGCGAGGCGGAGCCAAUCCCAGAAAGCCGAUCGUAGUCCGGAUUGUUCUCUGCAACUCGAGAGCAUGAAGUCGGAAUCGCUAGUAAUCGCGGAUCAGCAUGUCGCGGUGAAUACGUUCCCGGGUCUUGUACACACCGCCCGUCACACCAUGGGAGUGGACUGGUCCCGAAGUGCGUGAGCUAACCCCUUGUGGGAGGCAGCGUCCUAAGGAAUGGUCGGUGACUGGGGUGAAGUCGUAACAAGGUAGCCGUAGGGGAACCUGCGGCUGGAUCACCUCCUU